RNAcentral lists this unclassified non-coding RNA (402 nucleotides) under uncultured fungus. RNAcentral describes it as "sequence contains ITS1". The record is from RNAcentral. Lineage: Eukaryota; Fungi.
UUAACUUUAUUUAUAUAUUACUCAGACAACACAAAAAUCAAGAAUUUGGGGUCCUCUGGCAGGCGCGGACCAGCCUAAGCCGGUGGUCAAAAGACGGGCCUGCCAAAGCAACAUAGGUAAUGUAAACAAAGGGUGGGAGAUCUACCCAAAGGGCAAUUUCUCUGUAAUGAUCCUUCCGCAGGUUCACCUACGGAACACUAUAGUCUACCAACCUUUUCAGAGGUAGGCCGGUCAUAUCUGAAUCCAAGACAGGUUAACCUCCCUUGGACCACCUUCGUUUGAUCUGUGGACUGCUAUAAGCAGCUGCAUGUUACCCUGACGGUAUCCAAGCACAGUGAAGAUGUUGCCUACGUAGGUAGACUUGUAUCCAAGGCUUCUACAGGUGUUGUUCUGCAAGAGAAA